RNAcentral lists this ribosomal RNA (238 nucleotides) under uncultured bacterium. RNAcentral's name for it is "partial 16S ribosomal RNA". It matches the Rfam family "Bacterial small subunit ribosomal RNA", at positions 96 to 334 of the family's 1533-position model. The record is from RNAcentral.
CGGCGGACGGGUGAGUAACGCGUGGGUAACCUACCCUGUACACACGGAUAACAUACCGAAAGGUAUGCUAAUACGGGAUAAUAUACUUGAGAGGCAUCUCUUGAAUAUCAAAGGUGAGCCAGUACAGGAUGGACCCGCGUCUGAUUAGCUAGUUGGUAAGGUAACGGCUUACCAAGGCGACGAUCAGUAGCCGACCUGAGAGGGUGAUCGGCCACAUUGGAACUGAGACACGGUCCAA